GACGAACGCUGGCGGCGUGCUUAACACAUGCAAGUCGAGCGGUAAGGCCCUUUCGGGGGUACACGAGCGGCGAACGGGUGAGUAACACGUGGGUGACCUGCCCUCAGCUCUGGGAUAAGCCUGGGAAACCGGGUCUAAUACUGGAUAUGACUCCAUGACGCAUGUUGUGGGGUGAAAGCCUUGUGCGGCUAAGGAUGGGCCCGCGGCCUAUCAGCUUGUUGGUGGGGUGANGGCCUACCAAGGCGACGACGGGUAGCCGGCCUGAGAGGGCGACCGGCCACACUGGGACUGAGACACGGCCCAGACUCCUACGGGAGGCAGCAGUGGGGAAUCUUGCGCAAUGGGCGAAAGCCUGACGCAGCGACGCCGCGUGAGGGAUGACGGCCUCGGUGUAACGU
This 398-nucleotide ribosomal RNA is filed under the name uncultured bacterium. RNAcentral's name for it is "bacterial SSU rRNA". It matches the Rfam family "Bacterial small subunit ribosomal RNA", at positions 28 to 429 of the family's 1533-position model. The record is from RNAcentral.